UGUGAUGGGGAGCGAAAUUUAGUAGCGAAGUAGCUGAUUUCACACUGUCAAGAAAAGUCUCUAUCGAGGUUAAAGGUACCCGUACCGCAAACCGACACAGGUGGGUGAGGAGAGUAUCCGAAGGCCAGCGAGAGAACUGUUGUUAAGGAACUCGGCAAAAUGACCCCGUAACUUAGGGAUAAGGGGUGCCACCAUCAGGUGGCCGCAGAGAAUAGGCCCAAGCGACUGUUUACCAAAAACAUAGG
Molecule: ribosomal RNA, 245 nt
Filed under: Clostridioides difficile
Lineage: Bacteria; Bacillati; Bacillota; Clostridia; Peptostreptococcales; Peptostreptococcaceae
Description: partial 23S ribosomal RNA
Rfam family: Bacterial large subunit ribosomal RNA
Source: RNAcentral